UACGUAGGGUGCAAGCGUUAAUCGGAAUUACUGGGCGUAAAGCGUGCGCAGGCGGUUGUGCAAGACCGAUGUGAAAUCCCCGGGCUUAACCUGGGAAUGGCAUUGGUGACUGCACGGCUAGAGUGCGGCAGAGGAGACUGGAAUUCCUGGUGUAGCAGUGAAAUGCGUAGAUAUCAGGAGGAACACCGAUGGCGAAGGCAGGUCUCUGGGCUGACACUGACGCUCAUGCACGAAAGCGUGGGGAGCAAACAGG
RNAcentral lists this ribosomal RNA (253 nucleotides) under uncultured bacterium. Its description in RNAcentral is "partial 16S ribosomal RNA". It matches the Rfam family "Bacterial small subunit ribosomal RNA", at positions 524 to 776 of the family's 1533-position model. The record is from RNAcentral.